Pangasianodon gigas (Mekong giant catfish) is the source of this 75-nucleotide non-coding RNA. The record is from the annotation of a GenBank genome assembly. Lineage: Eukaryota; Metazoa; Chordata; Actinopteri; Siluriformes; Pangasiidae.
GGUGCAGUGGCUUAGUGGCUAAGACAUUUGCCUCGCACCUCCAGGGUUGGGGGUUCGAAUCCUACCCCUGCUCUG